This 406-nucleotide ribosomal RNA is filed under the name uncultured beta proteobacterium. RNAcentral describes it as "bacterial SSU rRNA". It matches the Rfam family "Bacterial small subunit ribosomal RNA", at positions 9 to 418 of the family's 1533-position model. The record is from RNAcentral. Lineage: Bacteria; Pseudomonadati; Pseudomonadota; Betaproteobacteria.
GAGUUUGAUCGUGGCUCAGAUUGAACGCUGGCGGCAUGCCUUACACAUGCAAGUCGAACGGUAACGCGGGGCAAACCUGGCGACGAGUGGCGAACGGGUGAGUAAUGCAUCGGAACGUGCCCAGUAGUGGGGGAUAGCCCGGCGAAAGCCGGAUUAAUACCGCAUACGACCUGAGGGUGAAAGCGGGGGAUCGCAAGGACCUCGCGCUAUUGGAGCGGCCGAUGUCAGAUUAGGUAGUUGGUGGGGUAAAGGCCUACCAAGCCGACGAUCUGUAGCUGGUCUGAGAGGACGACCAGCCACACUGGGACUGAGACACGGCCCAGACUCCUACGGGAGGCAGCAGUGGGAAUUUUGGACAAUGGGCGCAAGCCUGAUCCAGCCAUGCCGCGUGCGGGAAGAAAGGCCU